GUGAUUAAGUAAGAAAGGGCGUACGGUGGAUGCCUAGGCACUUGGAACUGAAGAAGGACGCAGCAAACAGCGAAAUGUUGCGGGGAGCGGUACGCACGCAAAGAUCCGCAGAUAUCCGAAUGGGGAAACCCGUCAUCUGUAAUAGGAUGACACCCAUGAGCGAAUACAUAACUCAUGAGGGAGGUACCCGGGGAACUGAAACAUCUAAGUACCCGGAGGAAAAGAAAAUAAAUAAUGAUUCCGUAAGUAGCGGCGAGCGAAAGCGGAGGAGCCCAAACCAGUNNNNNNNNNNCGGCGAGCGAAAGCGGAGGAGCCCAAACCAGUUCUCGAACUGGGGUUGUAGGACCACGAUAAGACAAGAACUAUGAUAGGAGAACAGCAUUGAAAGGCUGACCGGAGAGGGUGCAAGUCCCGUAACCGAAAUCGUAGUGAAGUCUAGUGGGAUCCUGAGUACGGCGAGACACGAGAAAUCUUGUCGGAAGCAGGCGGGACCAUCCGUCAAGGCUAAAUAUACCCAAGUGACCGAUAGUGAACCAGUACCGUGAGGGAAAGGUGAAAAGAACCGCGGGAGCGGAGUGAAAGAGAACCUGAAACCGUAUGCCUACAAGAAGUCAGAGCCCGUUAAAGGGUGAUGGCGUGCCUUUUGUAGAAUGAACCGGCGAGUUACGUUAUCGUGCGAGGUUAAGUAGAAGAUACGGAGCCGAAGCGAAAGCGAGUCUUAAUAGGGCGGCAGUACGAUGACGUAGACCCGAAACCGUGUGAUCUAGCCAUGACCAGGUUGAAGUUCAGGUGAAACUGAAUGGAGGACCGAACCGACCCCCGUUGAAAAGUUGGCGGAUGAGUUGUGGCUAGGGGAGAAAUUCCAAUCGAACACGGAUAUAGCUGGUUCUCCCCGAAAUAGCUUUAGGGCUAGCGUCGAGGAAGAGUAUAUUGGAGGUAGAGCACUGAAUGUACGAUGGCCCCAUCCCGGGGUACUGAGUAUAAUCAAACUCCGAAUGCCAAUAUAUAUACUCGGCAGUCAGACUGUGGGUGAUAAGGUCCAUGGUCAAAAGGGAAACAGCCCAGACCGCCAGUUAAGGUCCCAAAAUGUAUGCUAAGUGGAAAAGGAUGUGGGGAUGCACAGACAACUAGGAGGUUGGCUCAGAAGCAGCCACCCUUCAAAGAGUGCGUAACAGCUCACUAGUCGAGUGACCCUGCGCCGAAAAUGUACCGGGGCUAAGCAUACUACCGAAGCUGCGGAUUUGUAGUAAUACAAGUGGUAGGGGAGCGUUCCAUACUGCGUAGAAGUCAGAUCGUAAGGACUGAUGGAGUGUAUGGAAGUGAGAAUGCCGGUGUGAGUAGCGAGAUGUAGGUGAGAAUCCUACACACCGAUAGCCCAAGGGUUCCAGGGGAAGGUUCGUCCGCCCUGGGUAAGUCGGGACCUAACGCGAGGCCGAAAGGCGUAGUGGAUGGAAAACAGGCAGAUAUUCCUGUACCCGCGAUGGAAGUGAAGGAAUGACGGAGAAGGCUAGUGUGACCCACUGAAUGGAUUGUGGGCGAAGCGAAUAGCAGGACGGCAGUGAAAUGCGUCGUCGGAAUGUAAAACGUGACAGGUAAGGGAACGUCUACGGACAAGUACCGAAGCACAUGAGGCCAGCUUCCAGGAAAAGUUUCUAGCGUUGAUUCCAUAGCGGCCCGUACCAAAACCGACACAGGUGGGCAAGGAGAGGAUCCUGAGGUGAGCGAGAGAACUGUUGCCAAGGAACUCGGCAAAAUGACUCCGUAAGUUAGCGAUAAGGAGUGCUCUUGUAAAAGAGAGCCGCAGUGAAGAGGCCCAAGCGACUGUUUAACUAAAACACAGCUCUCUGCAAAGUCGCAAGACGAAGUAUAGGGGGUGACGCCUGCCCGGUGCUGGAAGGUUAAAAGGAUCUGUGAAUCGCAAGAGGAAGCAGUGAACUGAAGCCCCAGUGAACGGCGGCCGUAACUAUAACGGUCCUAAGGUAGCGAAAUUCCUUGUCAGGUAAGUUCUGACCCGCACGAAAGGCGUAACGAUUUGGGCGCUGUCUCGGCAGCAGACUCGGUGAAAUCUUAGUACCUGUGAAAAUGCAGGUUACCCGCAACUAGACGGAAAGACCCCAUGGAGCUUUACUGUAGCCUGAUAUUGAGUUUUGAUCAAAGAUGUACAGGAUAGGUGGGAGGCGAAGAGACGUGUACGCCAGUAUACGAGGAGCCGCUGUUGGGAUACCACUCUUGUUUGAUUGAAAUUCUAACCUGCAUCCAUGAACUGGAUGAGGGACCGUGUCAGGUGGGCAGUUUGACUGGGGCGGUCGCCUCCUAAAGAGUAACGGAGGCGCCCAAAGGUACGCUCAGAUUGGAUGGAAAUCAAUCGACGAGUGCAAAUGCAGAAGCGUGCUUGACUGCGAGAGAAACAACUCGAGCAGGGACGAAAGUCGGGAUUAGUGAUCCGGCGGUGCCGAAUGGAAGGGCCGUCGCUCAACGGAUAAAAGCUACCCUGGGGAUAACAGGCUGAUCUCGCCCAAGAGUUCACAUCGACGGCGAGGUUUGGCACCUCGAUGUCGGCUCAUCGCAUCCUGGAGCUGAAUUCGGUUCCAAGGGUUGGGCUGUCCGCCCAUUAAAGCGGUACGCGAGCUGGGUUCAGAACGUCGUGAGACAGUUCGGUCCCUAUCUGUUGUGGGCGAAGGAAAUUUGAGGAGAGCUGUCCUUAGUACGAGAGGACCGGGAUGGACCUACCGCUGGUGCACCAGUUGUUCCGCCAGGAGCAUAGCUGGGUAGCUAAGUAGGGAAGGGAUAAGCGCUGAAAGCAUCUAAGCGCGAAGCCCCCUCCAAGAUGAGAUUUCCCAUUCUUCGGAAGUAAGACCCCUUGAAGACGACGAGGUAGAUAGGUCAGAGAUGGAAACGUAGUGAUACGUGGAGUUGACUGAUACUAAUAGGUCGAGGACUUAAUCACA
RNAcentral lists this ribosomal RNA (2948 nucleotides) under Absiella sp. AM27-20. RNAcentral describes it as "23S ribosomal RNA". It matches the Rfam family "Bacterial large subunit ribosomal RNA". The record is from RNAcentral. Lineage: Bacteria; Bacillati; Bacillota; Erysipelotrichia; Erysipelotrichales; Erysipelotrichaceae.